AAGUCGUAACAAGGUUUCCGUAGGUGAACCUGCGGAAGGAUCAUUAACACGUAUCCACGUUAUCAACCAAUGUAAACUGUUUUCACCUCUCCCUAUGCUGAGAAUGAAUUGGCAACUUGAUAUAGGCCAUAAAUGGGGCUUGCCGCAAGGCGCCAACCUAUAGAAGCUAUUUAUUAAAGCGAAAGUUUUAAUAGACAAUUGUAUUUCAGUAUUAGGCAUCGUUCCACUAAUUUGGUCUCCAUUUAUGACCGUGUUAGAGGAACACUUUAUUAACCUAUUUCACCCCUUUUGCUAGUUGACUUUUAUAUGUGCGAUUUUGUGUAAGCAAGAUUCACACGUUUAAUUAUUUGAACGUUAAAAAUACAACUCUUAGCAAUGGAUAUCUUGGUUCUC
RNAcentral lists this unclassified non-coding RNA (393 nucleotides) under fungal sp. Its description in RNAcentral is "partial internal transcribed spacer region". The stretch from base 1 to 46 matches the Rfam family "Eukaryotic small subunit ribosomal RNA", at positions 1786 to 1831 of the family's 1831-position model. The record is from RNAcentral. Lineage: Eukaryota; Fungi.